AUUGAACGCUGGCGGCAGGCCUAACACAUGCAAGUCGAACGAGUGGCGGACGGGUGAGUAAUGUCUGGGAAACUGCCUGAUGGAGGGGGCUAACUACUGGAAACGGUAGCUAAUACCGCAUACCAUCAGAUGUUCCCAGAUGGGAUUAGCUUGUUGGUGGGGUAACGGCUCACCAAGGCGACGAUCCCUAGCUGGUCUGCGCGGAUGAGCAGGCACAAUGGAACUGAGACAAGGUCCUGACUCCUGAUGUAGGCAGCAGUGGGGAAUAUUGCACAAUGGGCGCAAGCCUGAUGCAGCCAUGCCGCGUGUAUGAAGAAGGCCUUCGGGUUGUAAAGUACUUUCAGCGGGGAGGCGUUACCCGCAGAAGAAGCACCGGCUAACUCCGUGCCAGCAGCCGCGGUAAUUC
This 406-nucleotide ribosomal RNA is filed under the name uncultured bacterium. Its description in RNAcentral is "partial 16S ribosomal RNA". It matches the Rfam family "Bacterial small subunit ribosomal RNA", at positions 30 to 526 of the family's 1533-position model. The record is from RNAcentral.